RNAcentral lists this ribosomal RNA (496 nucleotides) under uncultured bacterium. Its description in RNAcentral is "partial 16S ribosomal RNA". It matches the Rfam family "Bacterial small subunit ribosomal RNA", at positions 29 to 507 of the family's 1533-position model. The record is from RNAcentral.
AUGAACGCUGGCGGCGUGCCUCAUCCAUGCAAGUCGAGCGAACGGACGAGAAGCUUGCUUUUCUGAUGUUAGCGGCGGACGGGUGAGUAACACGUGGAUAACCUACCUAUAAGACUGGGAUAACUUCGGGAAACCGGAGCUAAUACCGGAUAAUAUUUUGAACCGCAUGGUUCAUAAGUGAAAGACGGUCUUGCUGUCACUUAUAGAUGGAUCCGCGCUGCAUUAGCUAGUUGGUAAGGUAACGGCUUACCAAGGCAACGAUGCAUAGCCGACCUGAGAGGGUGAUCGGCCACACUGGAACUGAGACACGGUCCAGACUCCUACGGGAGGCAGCAGUAGGGAAUCUUCGGCAAUGGGCGAAAGCCUGACGGAGCAACGCCGCGUGAGCGAUGAAGGUCUUCGGAUCGUAAAACUCUGUUAUUAGGGAAGAACAUAUGUGUAAGUAACUGUGCACAUCUUGACGGUACCUAAUUAGAAAGCCACGGCUAACUACGUG